GUCAAACCUCAGUUGGUAGAGCAUCAGACUUUUAAUCUAAGGGUCCAGGGUUCAAGUCCCUGUUCAGACU
Molecule: transfer RNA, 70 nt
Organism: Gasterosteus aculeatus (three-spined stickleback)
Lineage: Eukaryota; Metazoa; Chordata; Actinopteri; Perciformes; Gasterosteidae
Rfam family: tRNA
About the family: Transfer RNA (tRNA) molecules are approximately 80 nucleotides in length.
Source: Rfam